This is a non-coding RNA of Pangasius djambal, 72 nucleotides long. The record is from the annotation of a GenBank genome assembly. NCBI's taxonomy places the organism in Eukaryota, Metazoa, Chordata, Actinopteri, Siluriformes, Pangasiidae.
GGCAUGAUGGCCAAGUGGGAAGGUGUCGGUCUUGUAAACUGAAGAUCAUGGCUUCACGCCCCGUUCGUGCCU